UGCAGUCGAGCGGUAACUAAUUAAUAGCAAUAUUAGUUGGCUAGAGCGGCGCACGGGUGAGUAACGCGUACAUAACCUACCCUAUACUGGGGGAUAGCCUUGGGAAACUGAGAUUAAUACCCCAUGGUAUUAUUUGGCCACCUGGUUGAAUAAUUAAAGUUGAGGCGGUAUAGGAUGGGUGUGCGUCUGAUUAGCUAGUUGGUAGGGUAACGGCCUACCAAGGCUAUGAUCAGUAGGGGGCGUGAGAGCGUGGUCCCCCACACGGGUACUGAGACACGGACCCGACUCCUACGGGAGGCAGCAGUAAGGAAUAUUGGUCAAUGGAGGAAACUCUGAACCAGCUAUCCCGCGUGAAGGAUGAAGGGGCUCUGCCUUGUAAACUUCUUUUGUCUGGGGCGAAAAAGCUCGAUUUAUCGAGAACUG
This 423-nucleotide ribosomal RNA is filed under the name uncultured bacterium. RNAcentral's name for it is "bacterial SSU rRNA". It matches the Rfam family "Bacterial small subunit ribosomal RNA", at positions 56 to 471 of the family's 1533-position model. The record is from RNAcentral.